AUUGAACGCUGGCGGCAGGCUUAACACAUGCAAGUCGAACGCCCCGCAAGGGGAGUGGCAGACGGGUGAGUAACGCGUGGGAAUCUACCGUACCCUACGGAAUAACGCAUGGAAACGUGUGCUAAUACCGUAUACGCCCUACGGGGAAAGAUUUAUCGGGGUAUGAUGAGCCCGCGUUGGAUUAGCUAGUUGGUGGGGUA
Molecule: ribosomal RNA, 200 nt
Filed under: uncultured bacterium
Lineage: Bacteria
Description: partial 16S ribosomal RNA
Rfam family: Bacterial small subunit ribosomal RNA
Source: RNAcentral